UACGGAGGAUGCGAGCGUUAUCCGGAUUUAUUGGGUUUAAAGGGUGCGCAGGCGGCACGGCAAGCCGGCGGUCAAAUCGCGGGGCUCAACCCCGCCCAGCCGUCGGAACUGCCGGGCUAGAGUGGGCGAGAAGUGCGCGGAAUGCGUGGUGUAGCGGUGAAAUGCAUAGAUAUCACGCAGAACUCCGAUUGCGAAGGCAGCGCACCGGCGCCCUACCAACGCUCAGGCACGAAAGCGUGGGUAUCGAACAGG
RNAcentral lists this ribosomal RNA (252 nucleotides) under uncultured bacterium. RNAcentral's name for it is "partial 16S ribosomal RNA". It matches the Rfam family "Bacterial small subunit ribosomal RNA", at positions 524 to 776 of the family's 1533-position model. The record is from RNAcentral.